GAGUUGAUCGUGCUCGAGGACACGCUGGCGGCACGCCUAACACAUGCAAGUCGAACGGAGUGAAGAUGCUUGCAUCUGAACUUAGUGGCGGACGGGUGAGUAACACGUGAGCAACCUGCCUUUCAGAGGGGGAUAACGUUUGGAAACGAACGCUAAUACCGCAUAAAAUAUCGGAGUCGCAUGGCACUGAUAUCAAAGGAGCAAUCCGCUGAAAGAUGGGCUCGCGUCCGAUUAGGCAGUUGGCGGGGUAACGGCCCACCAAACCGACAAUCGGUAGCCGGACUGAGAGGUUGAACGGCCACAUUGGGACUGAGACACGGCCCAGACUCCUACGGGAGGCAGCAGUGGGGGAUAUUGCACAAUGGGGGGAAAACCCCUGAUGCAGCGAUGCCGCGUGAAUGAAGACGGCCUUCGGGUGUAAAGUUCUGUCGCAGGGGACGAAAAUGACGGUACCCUGCAAGAAAGCUCCGGCUAACUACGUG
RNAcentral lists this ribosomal RNA (482 nucleotides) under uncultured Anaerotruncus sp. Its description in RNAcentral is "bacterial SSU rRNA". It matches the Rfam family "Bacterial small subunit ribosomal RNA", at positions 10 to 507 of the family's 1533-position model. Lineage: Bacteria; Bacillati; Bacillota; Clostridia; Eubacteriales; Oscillospiraceae. The record is from RNAcentral.